UAAUACGUAGGGAGCGAGCGUUGUCCGGAAUUACUGGGUGUAAAGGGCGUGUAGGCGGGAUUGCAAGUCAGAUGUGAAAUACCGAGGCUUAACUUCGGGGCUGCAUUUGAAACUGCGAUUCUUGAGUGAUGGAGAGGAAAGCGGAAUUCCUAGUGUAGCGGUGAAAUGCGUAGAUAUUAGGAGGAACACCAGUGGCGAAGGCGGCUUUCUGGACAUUUACUGACGCUGAGGCGCGAAAGCGUGGGGAGCAAACAGG
This 256-nucleotide ribosomal RNA is filed under the name uncultured bacterium. RNAcentral describes it as "partial 16S ribosomal RNA". It matches the Rfam family "Bacterial small subunit ribosomal RNA", at positions 521 to 776 of the family's 1533-position model. The record is from RNAcentral.